RNAcentral lists this ribosomal RNA (505 nucleotides) under uncultured bacterium. Its description in RNAcentral is "partial 16S ribosomal RNA". It matches the Rfam family "Bacterial small subunit ribosomal RNA", at positions 28 to 523 of the family's 1533-position model. The record is from RNAcentral.
GAUGAACGCUAGCGGCAGGCCUAACACAUGCAAGUCGAGGGGCAGCACAUAAAGUGGUUUACUACUUCUGGUGGCGACCGGCGGACGGGUGCGUAACGCGUAUGCAACCUGCCUCCAACAGGGGGAUAACGGAGAGAACUUUCCACUAAUACCCCAUAAUAUCAGAAUCGGCAUUGGUUUUGGUUUAAAACUCCGGUGGUUGGAGAUGGGCAUGCGUUGUAUUAGAUAGUUGGUGAGGUAACGGCUCACCAAGUCAACGAUACAUAGGGGGACUGAGAGGUUAGCCCCCCACACUGGUACUGAGACACGGACCAGACUCCUACGGGAGGCAGCAGUGAGGAAUAUUGGUCAAUGGGGCAACCCUGAACCAGCCAUGCCGCGUGCAGGAAGACGGCUCUAUGAGUUGUAAACUGCUUUUACAAGGGGAUAAAUCGGUGUACGUGUACACCGUUGAAGGUACCUUGGGAAUAAGGAUCGGCUAACUCCGUGCCAGCAGCCGCCGUAA